Molecule: long non-coding RNA, 660 nt
Organism: Arachis duranensis
Lineage: Eukaryota; Viridiplantae; Streptophyta; Magnoliopsida; Fabales; Fabaceae
Exons: 3
Source: RefSeq, a predicted model, not a curated record
CAGCAUGUAGAACACGCUGGACAGAGCCAAAAUGGGGAGGAACAUGUUGAAGAUUCCAAAACCCUUAAUUUCAUUCAAAUCUACAUAACUUUUCGCUUCGAGCUCCGAUUGACGAUCCGUUUGCGGCUACGCGACCGCGGCGUCGAGCUCUACAAAGCCCAUAACAUUGUAAGGUUUAAUUUAGCUUGCGGAGCUUAUUGAGCUUGAGUUGUUAUACGUGUGGACACGGUGUGAAUUAAGUAGAUACUUGUGCAUUGAAAUUAAAUUGGGAGCAUAUGGAAGCUUGUUGGUGAUUGGAGCCAAGAUUUGGGUUGGUUUCUCAAGCUUGUGAGGGGCUGUGAUUGUGUUUGUGUGGCUGCCUUGGUCUAAGCGCGGUGAUCGGCCAAUGUAUGAUUUAGGUUUCGCGCGUUUAACAUUUAAGGUGUUGUGAAAACAUAGGCUAGAAAGCCAUAGGUUAAGUUGAAAAGGUUAAAAUAUAUUAAAUGGUUGGCUUGUGAUGAUGUUGGUAUAUAUUAAUGGAUUAUGGUUGGUGUUGUUAAUCAGGAUGUAGAGUUGUGUUGUGGUGGUAUUGCAUAUGCUGUAACUAAUUCUGUGAUGAUCGGAAUUGCGUGGAGCUAAGUCCUUGUUAAAUUUUAAAAUAUUUGGAACUGAACUGGAGAA